AAUGACAUUGAGGAAGCGAAUUAUCUGGGGAACCUUUAGGGAUGAAUACUUCCCACAUUUACUUGUCAAUCUGCAAAACUCCCAAGGAGAAAAUAUGUGGUUUAUUCUAACAAGCCACUACUGUUCUUGUCAGUGACUUCCCCUCUUAAUUGCCCCGCUUCGGGUUUACUUCAGUUCCUGGUAAGACCAAGACUUCCAUCUUUCACUGAAUUACCUUUCCUUGAAGUCAGAAUGUAGUGCAUCAGGCUCUCUCAACAGCUUCAAAUGGAAAACUUUGAAGUAAGUGAACUUAAAAGAAGAACUGAAAACUCAGCCUGAUGCCCCGAAGUCCCGUGGGCAGCCUAGCCACAGUCACCUGGUGGAACUCAUUAGCGCAGGCCGUUCUCAUCAGCGCCACGGAAGACGGAAACGCCGGGGUUCCUGGCUCUGAGCCUCUGGAGCGCCAGCACCUUCGCGGGGCUACGCGGGGCUCGGGGAGCGGCGGCCACGGCUUCUGCGCGCUCGCUCGCUCACUCAUUCACAGGGUCUGGGCAGCCCCGCGGGGACCCGGCUCUGCGCGCAGCGCAUUGUGCAGCUGGCGCGGCCGCGCAAAUGACAUCUGAGCCUCCUUUCAAGCCGCCGGCUGCUUUCAAAAGUGUGUUUUGAAAGGUUGGACUCCCCUGACUCCGCACUGGAGAACGGAACUCGGCUUUUUAUUAGAGGACGGCCUGGGACACGUGCCCGCCUCUGCGGCUCGCGCCUGCGUUGAUGGGAGAAUGAAAAGCAGACUUUGUCUGCUCAUUGACCAGAAUUAGUAACAUGGCCCUUCCUGACUAGAAGGGACCAGGAAGAAUAGUCUAUGUGUCCAGAAGGAGAGGAGCAGAUAUGUGUAAGCAUGUCUCUACUGUGGAAGAAAAGAGAAUUGGAAAGGAAAGAAGAUCCACAAAGGGUCUCAGGAGCUAAGACAAAAGAAAAGUACCAGGCUGGAGUGCGAUGGCACGAUCUCGGCUCACUGCAACCUCUGCCUCCAGUGUUCAAGCAAUUCUCCUGCCUCAGCCUCCAGAGUAACUGGGACUACAGUUUUGCAGCCACAUCAGUUUCUGAUUAGACUUACAAUUUAAGUGGGGAAGUGACUUUGGAAGAGACAUGUGUACUGUCAGCAGAUGGGAAGAGGAUGGAGAGAGAUGGAGGGAGGCCGCUGUAACACCUGUUCUGGUUGGGAUUCUGAAUGAAUAUGAAAGGCAUGGUACCUCUCUGUGGAAGGCUACACCAUGGCACUACGGAGUACAGACUGUGAGUUGUGUCACUGUGCACAAAUGAAGCCACUGUCCCAUCAAAUGAGAGGACACAAACUUUCAGCAAGAAAAAAUAAGAUAAUCUGAUACGUUUCAGUAUCAAAAAGAUUACCACCAGACACUCUACAAGGUGACGCAACAGUCAAACAGCACCGGAGGUCUGGACUGAUCACAUCUCAAGACAAUUAUAACCUACUCCCAAGCUCAGGCUGCAGUACAACUCAAAGGUGGACUAAGAACACACAAUAAUUCUCUGUCCCUGUGUUUGACAACACUGGAAACAGGCGUAUUUCCCUCUCUCUGAGCUAAACAAGUCUAGGAUGAUGGAUUCUACCUCUUUCUUUGCUAAGCAAUGCUGAGAAUAAACAGAAAUAAUUUAGCUCUUGCUCUAGGAAAUACCUGCUUCUGGAAGAUAAGUCUGGGAACAAACUAAACAGCUUACUUCUCAUGAAUAACACUUGACUCAUCCAGAAUUACUUCAAGACCCUCUGCACUGUGACCAUCAAUCCAAAGCUAUCAUGGCAUAAUCUCUGUUCAAUCCCAAAUAGUUUCUAUCUUGUAAGACUCUCCUUAAAUCCAGUCACCCAAGACCCCAAAACCAUAUCUAUUUCUAUUUUGAGACACUACUAAGACUGUCUCCAGUAAAUCUAAUAAGCUGAGCUUUUCUUGAUCAAUAGACUUUUCUGAUGAUCUUUGGGAAAUCAACAGUUGACUCAGUAAAGUACAAGACUACAAGACUGAUUGUAUUUAACUUUCUUAAAAACCUGUUUUUCUGUUUUUUAAUCUGUUUAUUUAUUCUCCCAAGAAAUAUUUAUUGAGUGUCAGGAACUACCUUGGACAUGGAGAACAAACUAUUUCUGACUUCAUGAAAUAUAUACUCUAGUAAGGAAAAAAUAUGUUUUUUAAAAUGACAGGCAUAAUUAUACCAUUACAGUUUUGAUAAGUGCGUUAAAACAGCAAUCCUAAAAUUCUAAGAAAAUGGGUCAAGGGAGAACCACAUUUGGCUUUGAGUGCAGGUGUGUGGAGAGCAAGGAUAGUAUCCCUGGACAGGCAGCAUUUAAAGUAAGACCAGAAAUCCCAGUGGAGAGGUGCCACUGGUAGAAGUGAUAGCAUGUGCAAUGCUCAGUGUCAGAAGGAGCUUGGCUUGCUCCCAGGACAGAGAGACAGCCAAUCCAGAAUAACCAGCCAUUGGGAGGGAGUUUGGCUGGAGGUAGGCAGGGCUGGGAUUAGUCAGAUUUUGUCAGACAUGAUAAGUAUUUAUACCUGGAGGUUAGUUGCAUUAGACUUUUUUUUUUUUUUUCUGAUACUAGCAUGUCUUAGACUCUAAUAUGUGUGUAUUAAUAGCCUCUCACAUUUGAUGUCAAAGACGAUGCCCAUAUUAGUGUGUGCUUUUGUCCCCUCUUCUGGAGCCAUAUGCUCCCUCUUUCUACUUUUAUCUUCUUUUAUUUUACAAAGUUUCUUCAGUUCCCUGUGUUUGUUCUGUUCCCCUUCCUAUGCUUUUUCUAGGACAGUGUUCUCACAGCCAAUAUUCUACCUUAUUUAGAGCCUCUCUGGGACUCAAGGAGUUUUUGCCUCCCUGGGUAAAGUCCCUUGACGAGAGCCUUUAAAAAAACAUAGUCGAUGAACUCUUUCUCCAGCUUAAGUAGUGUAAUGCAUUAUUGACUCCAGAUAUGAGGUCCCCACCGCUGCCAACAUUAAUGGAGAAACUUGUCCUAGUUCACAAGUGUUAACAGGGCUCCAGUCUUGUUCAACUUCUUCCUAGAGUGGCUUACUCCCUUGGGAAGUGUGAUUGUCUUAACCGCAUCUCAAGUUGGGAGGUAAUUUCUGUUCCAGGUACUCAAAGAGAUGCCAAGUUUAUUUGUAAAAUAAUUAUGGCAGUUUGAAAUUUGUUAAUUGCUCAUGUCAUUGUUCAAUGAGAUUUGUGUUUGUCACACCACAUCUUGAUGCAGAAUUUUAAAACUUUAUUUUGAAAGAGUAAACCAUUAUGUGUAACUAAUUGUCAUUCAAAAGUUCAGUAUAUAAAACACACAAAAGCAAAGAAGUGCCCCUGAGAGCAGGGGAAGGUCUGAGAGCUGGCAUAUUGGAUAUCUUUUUUAGUGCUGCUAAGUCCCCAGAAUUCACUGAAGGACUUUAGGUUGAAACAACACUACUUGACUCUGAGUUAAGGCAAUAAGGUUGACAACAAAAACUCAAGACCCUUUUGUCUUAGUAUAUUCAAGCUCCCUUAAUAAAAUACCCUAGAUUGGGUGGCUUAUAAACAAUAAAUAUUUAUUUCUGAUAGUUUUGGAGACUGGAAGUCCAAGAUCAAGGUGCCAACAUAUUUGGUGUCUGGUGAGCACCUGCUCUCUGGUUCAUGGAUGGUGCCUUCCUGCUGUGUCUUCACAUGGUAGAAGGAAUGAGGAAGCUCUCUCGAGUCUUUUUUAUAAGGGCACUAAUUUCAUUAAUGAGGGCUCCACCUUUAUAACCCAAUCCUCUCCCAAAGGCCCCUCCUCCAAAUAUCAUCACUUUGAGGAUUAGGAUUUUGUGAUGGUUAAUACUUAGUGUCAACUUGAUUUGAUUGAAAGAUACAAAGUAUUGAUAGUGGGUGUGUCCAUGAGAGUAUUGCCAAAGGAGAUUAACAUCUGAGUCAGUGGGCUGGGAAAGGCAGACUCACUCUUAAUCUAGGUGGGCACAAUCUAAUCAGCUGCCCACUCAGCUAGAAUAUAAGCAGGCAGAAAAUGUGAAAAAAGACACUGUCCUAGCCUCCCAGCCUACGUCUUUCUCCCAUGCUGGAUGCUUCCUGCCCUCAAACAUCAGGCUCCAAGUUCUUCAGUUUUGGAACUCAGGCUAGUUUUCCUUGCUCC
This is a non-coding RNA of Callithrix jacchus (white-tufted-ear marmoset), 4117 nucleotides long. The record is from RefSeq and is a predicted model, not a curated record. NCBI's taxonomy places the organism in Eukaryota, Metazoa, Chordata, Mammalia, Primates, Cebidae.